GCUGUCCGUAGAUGUGUGGUUUUAUUUCUUGGCUUUUAAUUUUGUUCCAUGGCUCUGUGUGUUUGUUUUUGUGGUUCCCUGGUAUUUUUAAAGGUUCUUCACACUAUUUGAGUUGAUGGAGAGAACUGACUCAGAUCAUGAGAAUCUUUGGAAUAACUUUCAUCUUUUCUGAAUUUUUUUUUAAACAAGUAAGAAUCCCCUUCACCCUCAAGUGUUUCAUGCCUUAGAGAUCAAAGUUGUAGACUCUAUUAUAGUAAAUUAGUAAAAGCAGCGUUAGUAAUUGGUAACAGUAUUAAUCAGCGGCAGUAGGAACAAUGUAACGAUAAUGAAUAGGUAACAUUUAAAUGGUGCUUAUUAUGUACCAGUCUCUGUUCUAAAUGAUUUGUGUAAACUAACUCGUUUAAUUCCCACCAUAACCCGAUGAGGUAGGUACGAUUAUGAUUGGCAUUUGACAGAGGAGAAAACUGAGGUGUGGAGAGGCUAAGAAACUUCCCCAAGUUCACAGAGCUGGAAAGUAGUGGAGCUGUGAGGCCCCCAGGUCCAUGCUCUGUACCACUAGGACCUGGCAGUCUGGGUGUGAUGAGGCGGUGUCAGAAAGCUCAUAGAGCACCCGUAGUGCCGUUGACGUAGGGUAUGAUUUCUGUGUUGCUGCGUAAUAGAUUAUCCCACACUUAGUGGCUUCAGACAACAGAUAUCAUCUCUUGGUUUCUGUGGGCCAGGAGUCUGGGUGCAGCUUAGCUGGGUCCUUUGGCUCAGGGUCUCUCGCAGGCUGCGCGGUCCAGGGCUUAGCUGGGGCGCUGCUAUCAGCCAGGGUGCCACUCGGGCAGGAUCCACUUCCAGAUAAAAUCAGUGUUGUUGGCAGGAUUCAGUUCCUUGCGGGUUGUUGGACUGGGAGCCUUAGUUCUUUACUCGCUGUUGGCCAGAGGCCACCCUCACUCAUUGCCGCAGGGGCCUCUCCAUGGGACAGCUCCCGUGUCAGCUGGCUUCAUCAAAGUGAGCAAGCGAGAGUGUGAGCGAGGUGGAAGGCACAGUCCCCUGUCCCCUGAUCUCAGAACUGACCCUUAUCAAUCUGCCUUACUCUGUUAUUAGAAGCCAGUCACUGGGUGGCAGCCCCAACUCACUGGGAGUGGCCCACGGAAGGGUGUGAGUACCAGGAGGUGGGAUGGCUGGGAGGCAUUGUAGAGGCUGCCUCCCCGGGGGGAGGUAGAAACAGCUCUGUGAGCUGCUGUUCUGAUGAUCCAGUUCCACGCAGCAUGAACAUGCUUUGAAAUCAACACAUUUUAAGAGAUUUUUAUGUCCCUGAUGCCAGUAGGUAAUUUCAGGCUCUAAGGACUUUCGAGCAGGAGGGGAACUUUUUCUGCCAUGCAGCUGCUGCUUUUCCCACGGGUCCACACCUGGCCCGACUUGUGGCUUCUAAACCGUAUCUGAUGGCAAGAGCAUCCGUGGCCUGGAAGUAGCAGCGUGAAUCCUUUCCAGGGCUGUGGCCUCUGCUGAAGUCAUUUGAGGCUGAAUCAUCAUCAGAUAGCCAGCCCAAUAUCAGCCGUCCUAAAGUAAGUGGGCACAAGGCCCCACCCUUGCUUUAGUUGUAAAGGAUUCUCACCCCCAGACACACGCGUGUCAUCAUUUUAUGAGAUGGGGCCCCUCUGUCUCCCACAGGAAGAGGAGGACUCUGUGCCUGGAAGCAUGGGAUACUGUCGCAUGGGCCAGUCUGUCAUUCUUUAAAAAUAGUGCUGCUUGCUUCCCAGGUUAUUAAAAAAAAAAAAAAA
Non-coding RNA from Equus caballus (horse), 1766 nucleotides. The record is from RefSeq and is a predicted model, not a curated record. NCBI's taxonomy places the organism in Eukaryota, Metazoa, Chordata, Mammalia, Perissodactyla, Equidae.